UCCGAGUUAUCCCCGGCAGUCUCUCCAGAGUGCCCAACUUAAUGAUGGCAACUGAAAAUAAGGGUUGCGCUCGUUGCGGGACUUAACCCAACAUCUCACGACACGAGCUGACGACAACCAUGCACCACCUGUCUACCUGUCCCGAAGGACGUUAUGAUCUCUCACAACUUCAGGCGAUGUCAAGCCCUGGUAAGGUUCUUCGCGUUGCUUCGAAUUAAACCACAUGCUCCGCUGCUUGUGCGGGCCCCCGUCAAUUCCUUUGAGUUUCAACCUUGCGGCCGUACUCCCCAGGCGGGAUACUUAUUGUGUUAACUGCGGCACAGAGGGGGUCGAUACCCCCUACACCUAGUAUCCAUCGUUUACAGCGUGGACUAC
This 375-nucleotide unclassified non-coding RNA is filed under the name uncultured Eubacteriales bacterium. Its description in RNAcentral is "contains 16S-23S intergenic spacer region". Lineage: Bacteria; Bacillati; Bacillota; Clostridia; Eubacteriales. The record is from RNAcentral.